RNA transcript from Vidua chalybeata, 2218 nucleotides. It is a transcript of the gene named potassium inwardly rectifying channel subfamily J member 9, with no coding region annotated. The record is from RefSeq and is a predicted model, not a curated record. The transcript has 4 exons. NCBI's taxonomy places the organism in Eukaryota, Metazoa, Chordata, Aves, Passeriformes, Viduidae.
GCGCUGAUGAUGGGGGCGACACCGAUCCUGAGCCGCCGCCGAUGGCUCAGGACAACGCCGCCUUCUGCGGGGUCCCCGAGGGGGUCCCCACGGGGGUCCCCGCCGAGGCCAAGCCCCCUCCCCCGCCCCCCCAAGCCCCCAAACGCCGCCCGUGGGGGGCCGGGGGGGGGCGCGGCGGCCCGGAAGCGCCAGCGCUACGUGGAGAAGGACGGCAAGUGCAACGUCCAGCACGGCAACGUGCGCGAGACCUACCGCUACCUGACCGACAUCUUCACCACCCUGGUGGACCUCAAGUGGCGCUUCAGCCUCCUCAUCUUCAUCCUGGCCUACGCCCUCACCUGGCUCUUCUUCGGCCUCAUCUGGUGGGUCAUCGCCUACAGCCGCGGCGACCUGGAGCACCUGGGCGACCACACCUGGACGCCGUGCGUCAACAACCUCAACGGCUUUGUGUCCGCCUUCCUCUUCUCCAUCGAGACCGAGACCACCAUCGGCUACGGCCACCGCGUCAUCACGGACACGUGCCCCGAGGGCAUCGUGCUGCUGCUGCUGCAGGCCAUCCUGGGCUCCAUGGUCAACGCCUUCAUGGUGGGCUGCAUGUUCGUCAAGAUCUCGCAGCCCAACAAGCGCGCCGAGACCUUGGUGUUCUCCUCGCACGCCGUGGUGUCGCUGCGCGACGACCGCCUGUGCCUGAUGUUCCGCGUGGGCGACCUGCGCGACUCGCACAUCGUGGAGGCCUCCAUCCGCGCCAAGCUCAUCCAGUCCAAGCAGACGCAGGAGGGCGAGUUCAUCCCGCUGGACCAGACCGACCUGAGCGUGGGCUUCGAGACGGGCGACGACCGGCUCUUCCUGGUGUCGCCGCUCAUCAUCAGCCACGAGAUCGACGAGCGCAGCCCCUUCUGGGACGUGUCGCGGGGGCAGCUGGAGAGGGACGACUUCGAGAUCGUCGUCAUCCUCGAGGGCAUGGUGGAGGCCACAGGGAUGACGCGCCAGGCGCGCAGCUCGUACCUGGCGGACGAGGUGCUGUGGGGUCAGGGUGUCCUGGGGGCUUCAGAUAUCGGGGUCCCCGUGCCCUGAGUGACCCAGGUUUUGGGGUCCCCAUGCCCAGAGUAACUCAGGUAUUGGGGUCCCCAUGCCCAAAGUCAUAUAUCGGGGUGCCCAUGACCUGAGUGACUCAAACAUUGGGGUCCCCGUGCCCUGAGUGACUCAGGUAUUGGGGUCCCCAUGCCCUGAGUGACUCCGAUAUCAGGAUCCCCAUGCCCUGAGUGACCCAGGUUUUGGGGUCCCCAUGCCCUGAGUGACUCAGGUUUUGGGGUCCCCAUGCCCUGAGUGACUCAGGUUUUGGGGUCCCCAUGCCCUGAGUGACUCUGAUAUCAGGAUCCCCAUGCCCUGAGUGACUCAGGUUUUGGGGUCCCCGUGCCCUGAGUGACCCAGGUUUUGGGGUCCCCAUGCCCUGAGUGACUCCGAUAUCAGGAUCCCCAUGCCCUGAGUGACUCAGAUAUCGGGGUCCCCAUGCCCUGAGUGACUCAGGUUUUGGGGUCCCCAUGCCCUGAGUGACUCAGGUUUUGGGGUCCCCAUGCCCUGAGUGACUCCGAUAUCAGGAUCCCCAUGCCCUGAGUGGCUCAGGUUUUGGGGUGCCCCUCACCCCUGCCCCCCGUGCCCCCCAGGGAUGACGCGCCAGGCGCGCAGCUCGUACCUGGCGGACGAGGUGCUGUGGGGUCAGGGUGUCCUGGGGGCUUCAGGUAUCGAGGUCCCCGUGCCCUGAGUGACCCAGGUUUUGGGGUCCCCAUGCCCUGAGUGACUCCGAUAUCAGGAUCCCCAUGCCCUGAGUGACUCAGAUAUCGGGGUCCCCAUGCCCUGAGUGACUCAGGUUUUGGGGUCCCCAUGCCCUGAGUGACUCCGAUAUCAGGAUCCCCAUGCCCUGAGUGACUCAGAUAUCGGGGUCCCCAUGCCCUGAGUGACUCAGGUUUUGGGGUCCCCAUGCCCUGAGUAACUCAGGUUUUGGGGUCCCCAUGCCCUGACUGACUCCGAUAUCAGGAUCCCCAUGCCCUGAGUGGCUCAGGUUUUGGGGUGCCCCUCACCCCUGCCCCCCGUGCCCCCCAGGGAUGACGUGCCAGGCGCGCAGCUCGUACCUGGCGGACAAGGUGCUGUGGGGUCAGGGUGUCCUGGGGGCCUCAGAUAUCGGGGUCCCCGUGCCCUGAGUGACCCAGGUUUUGGGGUC